UGGGAUGUAGCUCAGUGGUAGAGUGUUUGCCUUAGCAUAUGUGAGGACCUGGGUUCUAUCCCCAGCACCGCAA
Molecule: transfer RNA, 73 nt
Filed under: Marmota marmota marmota (Alpine marmot)
Lineage: Eukaryota; Metazoa; Chordata; Mammalia; Rodentia; Sciuridae
Also listed under: 1 other name
Rfam family: tRNA
About the family: Transfer RNA (tRNA) molecules are approximately 80 nucleotides in length. Their secondary structure includes four short double-helical elements and three loops (D, anti-codon, and T loops).
Source: Rfam by way of RNAcentral